GUUCUCUCUCGCCGCCGCCGCGCGACCAACUGUCACCGAGCUCGCGACCGCCGCUCGCGCUGCCGCGGGUGGGUGAAUAUCUCCUCAGGAGUCCUCAGGUACUUGGAUGAUCCAAUGGAUUAUGACUGCCUGGAACUCCUGACUUGCAUUCCCAACAACUGAUCUAACAUUGUGAGAAACAGCUGUUUUUAAAAAAGGUGAUUCAUUAUUUAAUGACAAUGGUGAAGAAGAUAAUGAUCAAGCUCGCGAAGCAAAGUAAAUCAGAAGUGCUCAAUUACAUUUUCUCCAGAAAGAAUGUCAAGAAGCCGAAGCCAAUGGAAGUCAUAUUCAAACCCACAAGACAUUUCGAAGAUAUUGAAGC
Amblyraja radiata (thorny skate) is the source of this 361-nucleotide long non-coding RNA. RefSeq lists it as uncharacterized. The transcript has 2 exons. NCBI's taxonomy places the organism in Eukaryota, Metazoa, Chordata, Chondrichthyes, Rajiformes, Rajidae. The record is from RefSeq and is a predicted model, not a curated record.